This 253-nucleotide ribosomal RNA is filed under the name uncultured bacterium. RNAcentral describes it as "partial 16S ribosomal RNA". It matches the Rfam family "Bacterial small subunit ribosomal RNA", at positions 524 to 776 of the family's 1533-position model. The record is from RNAcentral.
UACGGAGGAUGCAAGCGUUAUCCGGAAUUAUUGGGCGUAAAGCGUCCGCAGGUGGCCCAUCAAGUCUGCUGUCAAAGACGGAAGCUCAACUUCUGGCAGGCAGUGGAAACUGGUAGGCUAGAGUACGGUAGGGGUAGAGGGAAUUUCCAGUGUAGCGGUGAAAUGCGUAGAGAUUGGAAAGAACACCAGUGGCGAAGGCGCUCUACUGGGCCGUAACUGACACUCAGGGACGAAAGCUAGGGGAGCGAAAGGG